GGGCUUUUAGCUCAGUGGUUAGAGCGCUCGACUCCCAUGCCAGUGUGUGUUGACCUGGUUGUCCUCAAAACUUGAGAGCCCU
This 82-nucleotide transfer RNA is filed under the name Alosa alosa (allis shad). RNAcentral's name for it is "tRNA-OTHER". Lineage: Eukaryota; Metazoa; Chordata; Actinopteri; Clupeiformes; Clupeidae. The record is from RNAcentral.